GACGAACGCUGGCGGCGUGCUUAACACAUGCAAGUCGAACGGAAAGGCCCUGCUUUUGUGGGGUGCUCGAGUGGCGAACGGGUGAGUAACACGUGAGUAACCUGCCCUUGACUUUGGGAUAACUUCAGGAAACUGGGGCUAAUACCGGAUAGGAGCUCCUGCUGCAUGGUGGGGGUUGGAAAGUUUCGGCGGUUGGGGAUGGACUCGCGGCUUAUCAGCUUGUUGGUGGGGUAGUGGCUUACCAAGGCUUUGACGGGUAGCCGGCAUGAGAGGGUGACCGGCCACAUUGGGCCUGAGAUACGGCCCAGACUCCUACGGGAGGCAGCAGUGGGGAAUAUUGCACAAUGGGCGGAAGCCUGAUGCAGCAACGCCGCGUGCGGGAUGACGGCCUUCGGGUUGUAAACCGCUUUCGCAUGUGACGAAGCGUGAGUGACGGUAAUGGGUAAAGAAGCACCGGCUAACUACGUG
RNAcentral lists this ribosomal RNA (468 nucleotides) under uncultured bacterium. RNAcentral's name for it is "partial 16S ribosomal RNA". It matches the Rfam family "Bacterial small subunit ribosomal RNA", at positions 28 to 507 of the family's 1533-position model. The record is from RNAcentral.